This 353-nucleotide unclassified non-coding RNA is filed under the name soil metagenome. Its description in RNAcentral is "partial contains 5.8S ribosomal RNA, internal transcribed spacer 2, and large subunit ribosomal RNA". The stretch from base 1 to 120 matches the Rfam family "5.8S ribosomal RNA", at positions 35 to 154 of the family's 154-position model. The record is from RNAcentral.
GAUGAAGAACGUAGCGAAAUGCGAUAAGUAAUGUGAAUUUCAGAAUUCAGUGAAUCAUCGAAUCUUUGAACGCACAUUGCGCCCGCCAGUAUUCUGGCGGGCAUGCCUGUUCGAGCGUCAUUACAACCCUCAGGCCCCCGGGCCUGGCGUUGGGGAUCGGCGGAAGCCCCCUGCGGGCACAACGCCGUCCCCCAAAUACAGUGGCGGUCCCGCCGCAGCUUCCAUUGCGUAGUAGCUAACACCUCGCAACUGGAGAGCGGCGCGGCCACGCCGUAAAACACCCAACUUCUGAAUGUUGACCUCGAAUCAGGUAGGAAUACCCGCUGAACUUAAGCAUAUCAAUAAGCGGAGGA